This 253-nucleotide ribosomal RNA is filed under the name uncultured bacterium. Its description in RNAcentral is "partial 16S ribosomal RNA". It matches the Rfam family "Bacterial small subunit ribosomal RNA", at positions 524 to 776 of the family's 1533-position model. The record is from RNAcentral.
UACAGAGGUGGCAAGCGUUGUUCGGAAUUACUGGGCGUAAAGGGCGCGUAGGCGGCCUUCUAAGUCAGACGUGAAAUCCCCCGGCUUAACCUGGGAACUGCGUCUGAUACUGGAUGGCUUGGAUUUGGGAGAGGGAUGCGGAAUUCCAGGUGUAGCGGUGAAAUGCGUAGAUAUCUGGAGGAACACCGGUGGCGAAGGCGGCAUCCUGGACCAACAUUGACGCUGAGGAGCGAAAGCUAGGGGAGCAAACGGG